UGAGAUUGGAUCCCAUCCUAUGUGACUGC
This 29-nucleotide non-coding RNA is filed under the name Homo sapiens (human). Lineage: Eukaryota; Metazoa; Chordata; Mammalia; Primates; Hominidae. The record is from RNAcentral.